This is a long non-coding RNA of Cornus florida, 456 nucleotides long. RefSeq lists it as uncharacterized. NCBI's taxonomy places the organism in Eukaryota, Viridiplantae, Streptophyta, Magnoliopsida, Cornales, Cornaceae. The transcript is spliced from 3 exons. The record is from RefSeq and is a predicted model, not a curated record.
UGCAAAAUCAUUUGGGGGAGUAGAAGAUAAAUACUCAGAUAUUUUUGAAAUAAUUGAUAAGAGGUGGAAUGUUCAACUUCAUCGCCCUUUGCAUGCAGCAGGUUAUUAUUUGAACCCAGAAUACUUUUAUUCAAAUUCGAAAAUUGAAGAAGAUGAAGAGAUUGCAAAGGGUUUGUAUGCAUGCAUUGCAAGGUUAGUCCCCGAUGUCAAAGACCAAGACAAAAUUACUGAGGAACUGUCCUUAUAUUCUAAAGCUGAGGGCCUCUUUGGUAAUCCCUUUGCUAUUAGACAGAGAAGUACACGAGGACCAGCUAAUUGGUGGGAAGCUUAUGGCAAGUCAACAAAACUUCUCCAAAAGUUUGCUAUAAAGGUUUUAAGCUUUACUUGCAGUUCUUCUGGUUGUGAACGAAAUUGGAGCGUGUUUGAGCAUCUUCAUAACAAGAAAAGAAAUAGGCU